Molecule: transfer RNA, 78 nt
Filed under: Candidatus Thorarchaeota archaeon
Lineage: Archaea; Promethearchaeati; Candidatus Thorarchaeota
Description: tRNA-Val
Rfam family: tRNA
About the family: Transfer RNA (tRNA) molecules are approximately 80 nucleotides in length. Their secondary structure includes four short double-helical elements and three loops (D, anti-codon, and T loops).
Source: RNAcentral
GGGCCGGUGGUCUAGCCCGGUUAUGACGUCGCCUUCACACGGCGAAGGUCUCGAGUUCGAAUCUCGACCGGCCCACCA